This 2914-nucleotide ribosomal RNA is filed under the name Vibrio cholerae. RNAcentral's name for it is "bacterial LSU rRNA". It matches the Rfam family "Bacterial large subunit ribosomal RNA". Lineage: Bacteria; Pseudomonadati; Pseudomonadota; Gammaproteobacteria; Vibrionales; Vibrionaceae. The record is from RNAcentral.
GUUGUAUGGUUAAGUGACUAAGCGUACACGGUGGAUGCCUGGGCAGUCAGAGGCGAUGAAGGACGUACUAACUUGCGAUAAGCGCAGAUAAGGCAGUAAGAGCCGUUUGAGUCUGCGAUUUCCGAAUGGGGAAACCCAACUGCAUAAGCAGUUACUGUUAACUGAAUACAUAGGUUAACAGAGCAAACCGGGGGAACUGAAACAUCUAAGUACCCGAGGAGAAGAAAUCAACCGAGAUUCCGGUAGUAGCGGCGAGCGAACCUGGAUUAGCCCUUAAGCACUCGGUGAAGUAGGUGAACAAGCUGGAAAGCUUGGCGAUACAGGGUGAUAGCCCCGUAACCGACGCUUCAUCGAGCGUGAAAUCGAGUAGGGCGGGACACGUGAUAUCCUGUCUGAAUAUGGGGGGACCAUCCUCCAAGGCUAAAUACUCCUGACUGACCGAUAGUGAACCAGUACCGUGAGGGAAAGGCGAAAAGAACCCCUGUGAGGGGAGUGAAAUAGAACCUGAAACCGUGUACGUACAAGCAGUAGGAGCACCUUCGUGGUGUGACUGCGUACCUUUUGUAUAAUGGGUCAGCGACUUAUAUUCAGUGGCAAGGUUAACCGUAUAGGGGAGCCGUAGCGAAAGCGAGUCUUAACUGGGCGCUCAGUCUCUGGAUAUAGACCCGAAACCGGGUGAUCUAGCCAUGGGCAGGUUGAAGGUUGAGUAACAUCAACUGGAGGACCGAACCGACUAAUGUUGAAAAAUUAGCGGAUGACUUGUGGCUAGGGGUGAAAGGCCAAUCAAACUCGGAGAUAGCUGGUUCUCCCCGAAAGCUAUUUAGGUAGCGCCUCGGACGAAUACUACUGGGGGUAGAGCACUGUUAAGGCUAGGGGGUCAUCCCGACUUACCAACCCUUUGCAAACUCCGAAUACCAGUAAGUACUAUCCGGGAGACACACGGCGGGUGCUAACGUCCGUCGUGGAGAGGGAAACAACCCAGACCGCCAGCUAAGGUCCCAAAGUAUUGCUAAGUGGGAAACGAUGUGGGAAGGCUCAGACAGCUAGGAUGUUGGCUUAGAAGCAGCCAUCAUUUAAAGAAAGCGUAAUAGCUCACUAGUCGAGUCGGCCUGCGCGGAAGAUGUAACGGGGCUAAGCAAUACACCGAAGCUGCGGCAAUAUCUUUUAGAUAUUGGGUAGGGGAGCGUUCUGUAAGCCGUUGAAGGUGAAUCGUAAGGUUUGCUGGAGGUAUCAGAAGUGCGAAUGCUGACAUGAGUAACGACAAAGGGGGUGAAAAACCUCCUCGCCGGAAGACCAAGGGUUCCUGUCCAACGUUAAUCGGGGCAGGGUGAGUCGACCUCUAAGGUGAGGCCGAAAGGCGUAAUCGAUGGGAAACGGGUUAAUAUUCCCGUACUUCUGACUAUUGCGAUGGGGGACGGAGAAGGCUAGGUGGGCCAGGCGACGGUUGUCCUGGUUCAAGUGCGUAGGCUUGAGAGUUAGGUAAAUCCGGCUCUCUCUAAGGCUGAGACACGACGUCGAGCUGCUACGGCAGUGAAGUCAUUGAUGCCAUGCUUCCAGGAAAAGCCUCUAAGCUUCAGAUAGUCAGGAAUCGUACCCCAAACCGACACAGGUGGUCGGGUAGAGAAUACCAAGGCGCUUGAGAGAACUCGGGUGAAGGAACUAGGCAAAAUGGUACCGUAACUUCGGGAGAAGGUACGCUCUUGAUGGUGAAGUCCCUCGCGGAUGGAGCUGACGAGAGUCGCAGAUACCAGGUGGCUGCAACUGUUUAUUAAAAACACAGCACUGUGCAAAAUCGCAAGAUGACGUAUACGGUGUGACGCCUGCCCGGUGCCGGAAGGUUAAUUGAUGGGGUUAGCGCAAGCGAAGCUCUUGAUCGAAGCCCCGGUAAACGGCGGCCGUAACUAUAACGGUCCUAAGGUAGCGAAAUUCCUUGUCGGGUAAGUUCCGACCUGCACGAAUGGCGUAAUGAUGGCCACGCUGUCUCCACCCGAGACUCAGUGAAAUUGAAAUCGCUGUGAAGAUGCAGUGUACCCGCGGCUAGACGGAAAGACCCCGUGAACCUUUACUACAGCUUGGCACUGAACAUUGAACCUACAUGUGUAGGAUAGGUGGGAGGCUAUGAAGACGUGACGCCAGUUGCGUUGGAGCCGUCCUUGAAAUACCACCCUUGUAUGUUUGAUGUUCUAACUUAGCCCCAUUAUCUGGGGUGAGGACAGUGCCUGGUGGGUAGUUUGACUGGGGCGGUCUCCUCCCAAAGAGUAACGGAGGAGCACGAAGGUGGGCUAAUCACGGUUGGACAUCGUGAGGUUAGUGCAAUGGCAUAAGCCCGCUUAACUGCGAGAAUGACGGUUCGAGCAGGUGCGAAAGCAGGUCAUAGUGAUCCGGUGGUUCUGUAUGGAAGGGCCAUCGCUCAACGGAUAAAAGGUACUCCGGGGAUAACAGGCUGAUACCGCCCAAGAGUUCAUAUCGACGGCGGUGUUUGGCACCUCGAUGUCGGCUCAUCACAUCCUGGGGCUGAAGUCGGUCCCAAGGGUAUGGCUGUUCGCCAUUUAAAGUGGUACGCGAGCUGGGUUUAGAACGUCGUGAGACAGUUCGGUCCCUAUCUGCCGUGGGCGUUGGAAGAUUGAAGGGGGCUGCUCCUAGUACGAGAGGACCGGAGUGGACGAACCUCUGGUGUUCGGGUUGUGUCGCCAGACGCAUUGCCCGGUAGCUAAGUUCGGAAUUGAUAAGCGCUGAAAGCAUCUAAGCGCGAAGCGAGCCCUGAGAUGAGUCUUCCCUGAUACUUUAAGUAUCCUAAAGGGUUGUUCGAGACUAGAACGUUGAUAGGCAGGGUGUGUAAGCGUUGUGAGGCGUUGAGCUAACCUGUACUAAUUGCCCGUGAGGCUUAACCAUACAACACCCAAGGGGUUUUGUA